GGAGCAGCCUGAUUCACUCCACUGAAUCACAAUCCACAUUGAUGAUGGGCUAGUUGUUUGUUGAUUGCUGACUAUAUACUCUUUGUUUGCAUGUGCUGGAUUUGAUUGUCACACCUCACCUUUCCAUUUUUCUUUUUGCCUUUUUCAAAAAACUAAACAUUAUUUAAUUUAAUAGUAGUAGCAAUAAUAGGUGAUUGACAUCACUUAUAUACUGUGGCGGAUUCAGAAUUUAAAUGUUGUGGGUGUUCAACGGGUUGGAAUACAUAUAUUGAGGUUUGAAGUUUUAAGAUUUCGCAUGAAAAUUAAAGAUUCAACUAUCUUUUUAAUUUUGAGGCUACUUUUUCAUUUUACAUCAAUUUUUAUAUCUAUUUCGCAUCAAAUUUAUCGGGUGUUAGAACACCAUCAAUCUAAACCUAGCCUCGCCCCUGCUUUUAUACCAUGCAUAUAGAGUAAAUUAUUCCGAGAUUAUAAUUUUGGGGUUAUUGUUUCUAGAUUAGUUUAUAUCAUACGGGUGGUGGUAUAAAAUAAUUUCAUAUUGAAUGGGAUAAGAUGAGAUACGUUAAGAGUAGGUUUGGAUUAAAUUUACAUCAUGUUUGGUUGAUGGUAUCUCGUGUUUCAGGUAUCUCUUGCUUAUCGAAACACAAACACUUCCGUCUUAUCAAGACUACAGAAUGUUCGUGUGAAUUGUCGAUAAUAUCGGGUAUAUGAAAGAAAUCAUCGACUCUCUAUGUUCUAUAUUAGUUGUUAUAUUUCGCUUCUCGCGAGUCAAAUUAUAUAAAUUUUGACCAAUAUUUUAAAUAUAUAUGAGAAAAUUUGCAAUUUGUAGUACUUUUUCAUAUUAUUUUUGAAUAUUUAAAUUUUAAUUAUAAAAUCUUAAAUUGAUAUAAUUCAAUUUAAUUUUGAAAAUUAAUCAAAUUGACUUUCAAAAGAAUAAACAUGACGUUAAUAAUAAGGGAUUGAGAAAAUAGUAUAUUUUUCUUUUGUUAGAAAUUAGAAUUUGAAUUUGAGAAGUUAUGAUUUUCUAAUACUUCAUUAACUACUAUAUGACACUCGUAAGUGUAAUUAUAACAAAAUUUAUUGCUAAUUCUAUUUAAGAACGAAUUGAUUAUGGAUUAUAAAAAGUAAUUUAGUAACAAAUUAAUAACGAAUUUUGUAAUUAAUUUUUAUUAUUUUUUAUUUGAGUAGGAAGUGGUUUAGUUUGGUUAAUGCAAUAAUGGAAUAUGUAUGAACACCCCACAUGGUAGGUAUGCUUAACCACAUGUUAUUUGUUCACUAAUUUCUUUCUUAAGCAUAUUAAUUAUAUCAUGGCCCUUAAUCAUAAAAUUAUUUAACUAAUUAUAUAUGAGAAAAUAUCCUAUAAUUAAUUAAAGUUUAAAUCAAAUAAUAUGAUUCUACAAAGAUUUUCUAUAUUUUAUUUAGGGGAAAAGGUUCGAAAUAUAUCUAAACUUUGACAAAAUUUGUUAUAACACGUCUCAACUUUGCAGAGUUCCUAUGACCUCCUCGACUAUUUAUUACUGUAUUUCUAUGGUAUAUAUUUGUCCAACUGGACCACUGCGUGAAUACACGCGCAGUGGUGCGUAAGAAUCUGAAGUGAUCCAGCUAAACAAAUAUAUGCCGCCGAAAUACAGUAAUAAAUAGUCGAGGGGGCAUAGAAUCCCCGUAAAAUCGAUGCGUGUUACAGCAACUUUCGCGAAACAUAUUAGGGCAAUGAGACGUGGUUAGGGUGCUAGUGGUGGAGACAUGAUGGUUGAUUAGCGUAACGAACAGAUACGAUCAACAUAAAAUGUUACUUAUGAAAUUUAUUUUUUCAUCGACUAAAAAUAUUUUUUUAAAAAAAAAACACAUAAAUUAUUUUCCUCCUAAAAAAAUUCCAAAAAUGUCAUCCCUAUCUCCUACCUCCAACACCAAGAAUAUUUUAAUAAUUUUAAUUGGUUUUAAUUUAGAUGUGAUAUGUGACCAUAUAUUAGAGUUCCAAUAUUAGACUUUUCCAUAUAUGAUAAUAACCCUAGAGAAAUGAUAAUGACAUUUGGGCCCCAUUAUUUAGUCAUUCAAACACUUGGAACAUCCAAAUUAACUAGCCCCCUACAUUAUACAAAAUUCUAGAAUUUUGAUCAUUAAAUCAAUAUAAAAUUUGCAGGGAUAGAUAGGGACAUCAAUUAUAAAUUUAUAAUCAGUGACGAAAUCAAAAUUUUUAAAAAAAAAAAAUACUAAAAUGGGAAAAUAGUAUACCUGUGAGAAAAUAAGUUCGCGGGAGGGGUAGUCGUUGGCAAUUUCUUAAAAAUAAGAGAAAAUAAGUUUGGAUAAUCAGCCAUAUUUUUUCUCAACUAAACUCAUCGAAUCGGCUUAUCUAUAUAAUUUAUAUUUUUUGUGUGAUUUUCGAAUUAUUUUAUAUGAAUAUUUUUUAAAAAUGCGCACCUAAAAAAUAACGACUAUGAUUUUCUCAAGAUUUAAAGAUUCCAAAAAGAAAAAGAAAAAUAAAAAAUCAACCAAACUUUGUUAGUUAUACACAUCGUUAUCUUAUUGCUAAAGAAAGAUGGUAUAACAUUAUAAAAGGUCAAUUAAAUAACGUGGUGGUUAAUGACUCUUUUUGUAUAACAAUAAUAAUUAUUUAGUAUCCUAUGUUUAUGUUUAGUGUAAUUUGAUUUAUUUAAAUUUAUGUCACGUAAAAUUUAUCAACAAAAAGUUUUUUCGAUUAAGAAUUUUUUUAUUUAUGACUCAAAUUCGAAAUCUCUCGUUAAAUGUCAAAUUAAAAUAUCAUAUUCAAACUGAAAUAUCAAUCUUUUAGGGUUUGUUACUUGAUAUUCGGGUAUCUGCUUCAAGGUUCGACUAAUUUAAAUUUGUGUCGAGAAGUCCUAUAUUAAAGGCGAUUUUAUACCUAAAGUUUGAACUCGAAAUCUCUGAUUAAGAAUGGAAGAGUACUUACUACUCCGGCGCAAUCUUUGAUGGACAAAUUAAACUAUUUUAAUACCUACUUUGAAUUUAAUAUAAAUCAUAGGGAUGAAAGUUACCAAAUAUAUUUAAAGAAUCAAACAAAUAAAUUUAUACUAUCAAAGAUUUUUGAAUUUUUUUUUUUUAAAAAAGAGAAAUACAUAAAAUAUUUUAAAUAAGUUGUUGGAAUCUUUUUCUUUCCCCCCUUUGGGUUGGCAAUAUGUACUUUAUAUUGGUGUAUUCAACUCUUUUACUAAAUUCUUUGACUUGUAGUUUAUUAUAAAAAUUAUUUUAAUUAUAAUUUAUUCUUAAUAUAUCAGUAAGAAAAUAACAGCAACGAUAACUUAUAGUAUAAUCUCAUAAAUAAAAUUUGACAAAAAUAAAACGUAUGUAGAUAUUAUGUAGACCCUCGAUUCAAAAAGAAUAUUAAUCGAAGCAAAGCAGGAAAAUAUAAAUAUCUAAAAGCAAGAUACAAAGCAAAUAUAAAUUUCGGUAAAAGAUAAAUAUUGAAAUUAAAUAAAUAAAAUGUUUAUUAUUAAAUUAUUUUUCUUAUAUUUGGUUCAACUUGCAUGUGUAAUAUUUGACUAACACAUUUAAUUCCUUUCUGUCGGUGCAUCUAAUACAAUUUUUCUUUUUCUUAUUUAUUUUUUUGCUUUGUCAACCCUAGCUAAAUGAUUGAUACUACAAAAUAAAUUAGUCUAUCGUUAAAUUGCUCGUUCCUAAUAAAUUAUUAUAAGAAUUCAUCGUUAAAUAAAAUUAACAGUUUUUUUUAUUAUUUAGCUAUAAAAUUUAUUUAUUACAAAAACUUGUUUUUACAUGAUAACCAAAAGAAUUGUAAUUUAUAUUAAAUUAUGCACCUAAUACUUUUGAAUUAAAAGAAAAACACAUAAGUUGUCAUAUGACAGGUGGACAAUGAAAAAGAAAUUCUUAUCAAACUAAAAAAUAAAAAAAAUAAAAACAAAUAAAAGACCUAUAUGUUGAUGCAUGUCAACAAUGUUUAUAUUAAACUAGGAUCAGAUUCUCCAUGAGAUUUAUAAUUGCAUUAUUAAUUGUAGUUUUUUUGUUCGUAGACAAAGCAAAUUCGAUAUUAUCUUUGAUUUCAAGACAUAACGUUGAUUCAUGUACUUCAUAUUCACGAGUUGCGAUAAUCUUAUUUUCUUAAUAUAUAUUUACAAUUUUUUGUACACCUUUAAUUUUGAUUAUAACGAAAGAACAAAUUGUAUAUUACCACAAAGUGAAAUUUGAGGAAAGUAGAGUAAGUGCACGCAGUCUGUAUAGGGAGACAGCGGCGGAACCAGAAUUUUGCAUUAAUAGGGUUCAAAAAUAACAUACGAUCUAGUCAAAGGGGGUUCAACAUCUACUAUAUCUACAUAAAAAAAUAUUUAUAAUCAUAUAGAAAUAGUAUAAUUUUUCAUCGAAGAAGGUUUAACAUCUACUUUAUAUACAGAAAAAAUAUUUUUAAUCAUGUAAAAAUAGUAUAAUUUUUUGUCGAAUGGAAUUCGAUGAAACCUCUAGAUGAAAAGUGGCUCCGCCCUUGUAGAGAGAUUGUUUUCAAUAGACCUCCAGCUCGUGUUAAAAAGAGUCUAAAGAAGGCGUAAUAGAAGUACAAAAAACAGCUCGUGUUAAAAAGAGUCUAAAGAAGGCGUAAUAGAAGUACAAAAAACAGCUCGUGUUAAAAAGAGUCUAAAGAAGGCGUAAUAGAAGUACAAAAAACAAUAGAUAGUAACAAAACAAGAAUAUCACAAAAUAAUACUACAAUCAAUUUACCCGAAAAAAAAAAAAAAUAUCACCAAAGCUUUAACAAUAAGAAACUACAAUUAUAACACUACCAUUAGUAGAGUCUUUUUUACACCUUUUGAUUCUUAAUUAAUUGAAACAUUAAAAAGUCACUAAAUCUACAAGUAAUCAGAAUUAAAAUGAUUGUGAUGGCCAAUAAAGUAAAAAGUGUUGGAGUAUUUCAUAAUUAAUUAAUAAUUGGUGUUGGAAAGGAUGGUAGGGAAAUUGGCCAAAUCUUUUUUCUUUUUGUCAACCAAAAUAUCUUUGCUUGGAAACUAAGGAAAUAUAAAUGAGGGAAACUAGAAUAAGAUACGAAGGUAAAAUUGGUAAAAAUAUUUUUUUUUAAAAUAAAUUAUAGAAAAUUGUUUUAUUAAAUGAUUUAUGACAUGUAUGGAAAGGUCAUCAUAUUGUAAUAUAUAUAUAUAUAAUGGUGCUGUUCGCAAAUAAGGUAAACGUGCGGAAUAAUUUGACAACAAUUAAUCAGUAUGAUAGCCAUCAUCAUAUUCAAAGGGCCAAUAAUCAUUAUCAUCAGAAUAUGACCAAUAGUCAUCUUCAUCUGAAUCUAUAUGAGAAUAAUCAUGGAUAGACCAUUGUUCUUAGACAAGUGGUUCUAUAAUCUUAUCAAGAAUUUUCUCAUGAAGAUCCUUGUUUAAAUUUAUCACUUUUAAAAUAGUGAUUAAAGUUUUUUCAUCUAGAAAACAAGUAUAGUAACUCAUUAUGCUGUAUAAAGAGUCAUUCGUUUUAAUUUAUUUUUAUACUUUUGUAAUCUAGAUAUCUGUAUUGAUUUUAGAUUAUGAUUUUCAUUUAGAGAGGCAUUUAUACGUACUCUAAUCCUAUUAAUUUCAGAAUUAUUUAAAUAAUUUUUUAAUCUAUAUAACCUAUUAAAAUAGUUUUUUAAACUUUUUAUAUUAUGAUUGUAAAACCUGAUUUUUAUUUUGGUUUCCCAAAAUCAAUUUCGAUAUUCCUUUAAUACUGGUCGUACAACCUUCAUAUUAAAAAGUAUACACUAUUCAUGAUUUUAAAAUUCCCUAUAGGUACUACGUAAUACAAUAUGUAUGAAUGCAUAAAGUAGAUAUGCAAACUAAUUUUUCCUAUGCUAAUAAGUUCACUAGACUAUAGAGUAUAUUCAUGUACCUUUCGUCUUUCCUUUACGUAGGUCGUAUCAACACCUCAGUGUUUCUCCUUCCGGCUAUGAAGAACUUCUUUAGCUAUUUUUGUCCUUUUGGCUAUUAUUUCGUUCCUCCUCCGUUUAGGCCGAUGAUCGCAACCAUCAUUUUUACCAACUUAAAAGAUUGACAAGGUAUAUAAAACAAACUUUUAUUCCAUGAACUUAUUACAACAUAAGAAAAAUCUUUAAUCAGAUCUUUCUUUAUACUCACAUACACACUAUUAUUACUUUUUCCUGGCGGGAGAAAGUGCUCACUCACUCAUUAAAGAAGAUACCUAACAAUUUUCUAAGAAAGAACAUAUUUCAGAGAAAAUGUAGUCUGUCUUCUAAGUUUUUCUCUCUCUUUUUAUAGAAGUAAGGAGGGGUAGAUUACAAUAUUUAUUUCUCGUAGGAUCGUCCCUAUAUAAUUUAAUAUUUCUCUUUCAAUCCCUAAUCGAGAUAAGAUUAAAAGAUAAGAUAAGAUUCUUUUAUCUUGUGAUUGGCUGAUUUUGGAUUGUGGGGUCCAACUUGUCCAAUCUUCUAUAUUUUAUUUUUGUCGUCUGAUGCCGACAAUGUUGACUUACAUGCUUUUUCUUUACAUCUCUUUCUGCUUUUGCUGAAUAGACUUUACAGUUGUAGAUUACAUCUCUUCAAAUAUUGAAGAGUCACCUUCUUCUUCAUUUCUUUUGAGAUGUGGAUGUUAUAAGAACUUACAGGCCAUAGCCCAUGUGUUUGGAGUGGCUAGAAAUUGAUGAGUUUCAAUUUCAAUUAUUUUGUCUCUUAAGACAACUGAUUUUGAUUUUCCUUUGAUCAUGAGAACCUAAUUCAUAUUUCUAUUCAGGACUUUAUAAUUUGUUGCGAACUUGUUUUUAAGGAUGUGAUAAACAACCUUCAUCCCUAAUGCUCGUUUGGUUUGAAUCCAUUUCUUGUUAAAAUAUGGAAUUUUCUUAUUAACACCUGUAGCGUUAAUACUAAAAUCUCUUAGUUUUUCCACUUCAACAUAAUUGACCGUGGGAAAAUAUACUUGAUCAUCUUGAGAUUCCAUAGUUAUGUUGUAGAAUCUGCAAUAAACGGCUUCAUUUCCGGUAAAACUCUUAAUUGAACUUGUCAGAUGCAUAGGUAGUCCUUCUAUCUCAGAUAGAUCAGGUUUAGAAUAAACUCUGUCAAGAUAGCCGAACUCUAAUAAUUUGGCUGUGAAAUCAGCCUCUCCUCCUGGGAAUAUGGAGAUUCUUGGAUAUAUGCUUUUGUUCUCAAGAACUCCAAAUGUUGUUCCACAUGAUUCAGGGAGGUCAUAAAUCAUUCUGCUGAAUGUCAAAUAUUCUUCUUCUUUUGGAUGAAUCUUGCCAACCUGAAAAGUAGAAAUAUUUUUUGCAGAUAAAAAGUUAGUCCUUUUUUCUGAUUUCUCAGAAGUUUUUUCAGUGGUUACUGAUUGUAUAAUUUCAGAGAAAGUCCUCUGAGUUGGUUCUUGGCGUUUGGCUUCUUUCGAGGAUUCAUCCAUUGGCAUAUCCGAGUUUACCUUUGAGAUGUUUUUGGCACUAGGUGCUAGUGGGACAUCUCUUGCCACUUUGUUAGGAAUUUUUUCCCUUGCACGGCAUUUAGCUUUGUUUAAAGACUCUGCUAUCAGCAUAUCCUGCUUUAACGUUGAGAUAUUUUAGGCACUAUGUGCUAGUGGGACAUCUCCUGCCACUUUGUUACCCUUAGGUUUUGUUUCUAAAUGUUCACAUAGAAGUUGAAAUUCUGCCAUGUUGUCAGCUUGUUCUGUGUUAAGCCGACCAAAUUCGAACUGUAACUUUUUUGCCUUUUCAGACACUGUUACUAAUUCAUCUCUUAGUUGGAGUAUCAUAUUGCUCUUCUCAUUUAUGGCUUCAUCGAUGUCAUUCAUCUCUUGCCAAAUCUUGUUUGUCAAUACUUUAGUUCUAUCGUCCAUAUUGAACGUUUCUUGAUAGGAAGUCUUCUAUACUGUGGUUCUGAAGGUAAUUUGUUGAAUAUUAAUCCUGAUAUCUAGGUAUUAUCUGUCCUUACAACAAAUGACUUGGGUAAUAAAAAUGCAGAAAACUUUUGUAUUCCUUUUACUACCGCUAGUAAUUCUUUCUCGUUGGUGAAGUAAUUAAUUUCAGCCUCAUUAAAUGUUUCACUUGUAUAUCUACAGAUUUCAUUUAGAUCUGUUUGUAGUAUUGCUCCCCAAUGAUAAUCUGAAGCAUCUGUUUGUAGAACUAAAUUAUCAUCUGGUUCUGGUAGCCUGAGCUUUGGUAGCUUAGCACGUUCUUCUUUUAAUUUUUAGACACAAAGAGUAUGUUCGUUGGUCCAUCCUAGUCGAUUUGAUUUUCUAAUGAGUUUUUGCAAAGGAUUUCUCUUCUUUGCAAGGUCAGGAAUAAAUUCUCUUGCAUAGUUGAGACAACCAAGAAACCUUUGUAUUUCUUGUUUUGUUGUAAGCUUGUUAGGAAAUUCGAUUAUUUUCUUUGAAAUAUGAUUUUGUAGCGCUAUUCCAUUUUUUGAAAUUAUCAUUCCUAAGAAUUCUAUUUCAUUUUUAUUUAUUUCAGCCUUUUUUUGGCUCAAAAUAAUCCCAUUUUUAACAUAGAGUUUUGAAAAUUCUUUCAAAUGUGUUAAGUGUUCCUGGUAGUUUUCUGAACAUACCAAAAAUCGUCUAUGUAGACUACUAAAAAAAAAUUUCAGAAGAAUUUUUAUCCAUCUUUCUUUGAAAAAUCUGUGGUGCAUUUAUUAAUUCAAAGGGCAUUACCAUCCAUUCAUAAUGUCCGUUAGGAGUGCUAAAUGCUGUUAGGGGAAUUGAUUCUUCUGAAAGCUUAAUUUGCCAAAAACCGCUUUUACAGUCAAAUUUUGAAAAGUAGUUUUUUCCUUUAGUAAGGUUAAUUAAAUUAUUUUUAUUUAGAAUAAAAUAUCCAUCAAAAACACAAUUUUUAUUUAACUCUUUGUAGUUAAUUACCAUUCUAGGUUUUCCUCUUUUGAGUUCCGCAUGAUUCCUUACCAUAAAGGCGGGACUGCUAUGUGGACUCUUACUUCCUCUUAUUAAUUUAAGAUUAAAUAAUUCUUGUAUUUGAAUUUUAAAUUCAGUUUUAUCUUCUUCAUUGUACAACAUUGGUUUAACUUUUAUUAUGAUACUAGGAUCUUUUAAAGUUAAAACUGCUUUUUCAUGACUAUUAUUCCAUUUUUCUAGUGGAUUUUCUCCGUAAGAUAUUUGUAAAUCUUGUUUUAUCUUUUCUAAAUCAAGGCAUUUACAAGAGUAAUUUUUUGGAUUGUCCAAAAAUCUUUGUUAAAAAAUUUCUUGCUCUUUUAUUAGAACAUAAGGAUUAUGUUUUCUUGGAAUUUUUAUAAAAUAAUUACAUGGUGUUUUAAAACUAACCAUGUAUAUAGUUUGAUGAUUGUCCUGAAACUGUUGAAUAAAAUCAUUUCCUAAUAAUAAGUCGAUUUCAAGCUUGUCAUAAGAAUAAACAUGUUUUAUAGGAACUAUCUUAGAUCCUAAAAUUAUUUCUACAUUUUUCUUUUCAUGUGUGAAUUUUUCUUUAUCACCUGUUAUACCUACAAGAUAGGUGUUUGAAUUAGAUAUAUCCCAAUCUUUUAUUAAAAAUGAUUUGGCUAGACUAGUUUCUGAGCCAUUAUCUAUUUGACAACAUGAAGUUAUUUUUGUUUCGUAGGUUGUAAAUUCUACGAAUAUUGCUACUGUGAAUGAAGUUUCUUUAGGCAUUAAUUUUAGGUAUAAAACAAGUUUUAUCGCCUAAGGUUAUUUGAAUUCCUUCCUUUUGGAUACUAUAUUGAUCCAAACUAUCGAGGAAUAAUCCUCCCAAGAUUAUAUUAUAAUCAUUUUCAUGUUCGCUGAUAUAACAAGGAACUCUUGUUUUUAUUGUUCCUAAUUGAAUUGGUAAUUCAACCAUUUUUGAACAGUCAUAACUAUUUCCUUUCAAAUGUUUUAUAAAUAUAAGGUUUAUCUUUAUAGCUAAUUAAUCCGUCUAAGAUACUUUUCUUGACGUGAUUUGCUGAUGAUCCUGAUUGUAUCAGAAUUGUUUGUUUGUUCCAGUCACUUCCAUUAAAGAAUCUUCCUGAAACUUCAGUAAUACUGUUAGUAUUAUUAAUGGUAAAUCUUGUAGAGUUACCUUUUCUUAUUGAGUUUUUCCCAUAAUUUAUUGAGAGUCUUGGAUUCGAAGUAGAGGAACUUCCUAUUUCUAUUGUUUUUCCUACCUGGAAUUCCUAUUCAAUAGGAAUGUUUGGUUGUUGAAUUUCUGCUUCAACUAUCCUUGCUAUUCCUGCACAUUCUUGAUCAAUUUCGAUAAGACUUUUGUUUUUAUAAACAUUUCCAUAGUUUGAGUUAGUAAUCGUGUAUAGACCCUGAUAAUAGAUGCUCAUCAUAUGAUUAUCUGGUUUAAACAGAUCAUUUCUUUUUACUUGAAAAUGCAAACUUUAUGCUUCAUUAAAAUUUGCAUCUUUUAAGGAUAUGCAAUACCUGGGGUGAUAGGUGAAUAACAAUUUGGUGUAUGCCGAACUUCCUUCAACUAUGCCUAGAUUUCCUUCCCUUGUAUAUUAAAAUCUUUCGUCUGAGAGAUUUAUUAUUAUGGGACAAUCUAUACCUUCUUUAAAGGUAGAUUUAUUUAACCAUGAUCUGGAUUCCUCCAAGAUAAACAUAGUUCAUCUUUUUUCUAUUUCUUUGUGGAAUUUUUCCUAAGAUUUGGUCUAUCAUAGGCUUAGUUAAAAGGUUAAGCUUAUGUCUCCCAGUCGUUUGAGUGACCUCUAUCACCUUUUCAACCUCCUGAUAUUCACGAUAAGAGAUUUUAUUUCUUAAAAAGGCUCUUUGGAGUCUACUAAAUAUACUAUCUUCUGUUCGAAGAUUAAAUUUUAAUCCUUGAAUUUUUCUUAACAAUUCUCCAUCAAAUGUGGCUUUUAAUGCGUGUCCUCGCUGAUCUUCUUCAGAUUCUAUAACCUGAGUUGUUUCUUCUAAAUUCUCAAUUUCUUGUUUCAUUUUUCUGAAUCAGUACUUGAUUCGGAGAAUUCUUCAUAAAGUUCUGUAUAAAAUUCUUCACUUUUAAUAGACGAGAUUGACUCUAGGCCUGAUUCUAUUUCUUCUCUAUCUAUUUUAGAGAUUUUUACUCUCUUCUUAUUACAUUCAUAACUUUUGUGGCCUUCUUCUCCACAAUUAUAGCAUUUACAUCUAUCUGUAGAAUUCCUUUUAAAAUUUCUACGUUUUUUGUAAUACCUUUUUCUUGGUAUGAAAUUCUUUUUAGAAAUGUUUUUUCUCUUAAUUAAUCCUUUAGUUUUCCUGUGUCUUCUUUUUCUUUUUAACGAAUUUUUCUCAUGACAUCCCCAUUGAGAUGCUACUUCUGUAUCUUCACAGUAGACCUGAGUACCUAUCCUAUUGGCUUUUCUCUGCAUAUUAUGCAACAUACAUAGUUGACUAAGUCUUUGAUUAAGAAAAGUAAUCCUUUUUCCUAAAGAAUCAUCAGUUUGAUCUUCUUUAGCAUAUUCUGUUCUAAAAUAACUAGCUCAAUAUCCUGGCAGUUUUUGAAAAUAUUUAUCCAUAAAUGGAGUUAAAUUUUUAAUACUAUUGAAUAGCUGGUAGUAGUAUGUUUCAAAUUCACAAGUACAUUCUUGAAUAUACUUCAUUUUACAAAUUUGAAGUUUUUCUAGCCAUUAUGCUGCUAGUAAUCCUUGUAUUUCUUUCCCUUUGGAAAUGUCUGACUGGCUUCCUAAGAAUUUAGCUCCUACAUAUUUUACUAGAUGGUUUAUACCUUCUCUAGUUGAUUUUUCAAAAUUUGCGAUAACUGCUAGUCUAAACACGACUUCAGUUUCUUUAGAUACUCUUCUAAACCAAUUAUCUACCUUUCCUGUAAAGGUAUUUGUGGCGAUUAAAUAUUUUUCUUCACUAGUGUAAUUACUUUCUUUUCCUAGAAUAAAAAAUAAUUCUAGGUUUUUUGCUCAUAAAUCUAGAAAUUCUCCAGGCUCUCUUUUACAGUCCAAAUCAAGGAACUGAGCUGCUCCAGCAUCUCUCACUGAUAGCCUAUUAGGCAUAAAUUUAGCCUUGGAAUUUAUAUGGUAUUGACUAUUAAAGUCUUUCCAUUUCUUAGAUUUUGGUAAGAAACUGCUUCUUGGAAUAUGUUCUUCGUUAAAUAAGCUUUCUUCCUUAGGGGCCUUAAAGGUUCCCUGUGGUCCUCCUGUGUCCCCUUUAUUCAUGUUUACUCGAUAGUUUUGAUCAUUUAGAUCAAGUUCUUCUAAAGCAUAGACUAGUUCGUCUAGUUCAUUCAUUUUCUUCCUUUCCAACUAGGUCUUCUAUUUCUGUUUUGGAAGUAGAUGCUUCUUCUUUAUCAUUAUUAUUAGAAAUUUCUUCUAAUUUUUCUAAAUCUUCUUUUUGUUUUAUUUCUAAAAAGCUAGAUAUAAUUUUUUCAUCUAAACUACCUUAUUGAUAGUUUCCUUUAUUUGAGAUUCUAGGGGAAAGAAUAUCAUUUCUUAUUCUUUUCCCUAAUUCUUUAUUGAAAAUAUCAGUUCUUUCAAUAAUUUUACCCAUAUUAGCUGGUGAAUUAAUCUUAAGGGUUUUUAUCUCUUCUUCUAUUAAAUUUACCUUAAGAGUUAUAUGCCUUGUAUAGCUAAAAGAUCAUCUAAGUUAUUUAAGACUUUGUCUAUAAAUUCUUUGUUAUACAUUUUUAAACAGAUAAUUAUUUAAUUUGAAUUCUAGAUGCCAAAUUUCUUGUUCUAAAAGGAAAAUAGUUUUCUUUUGAUGAAAUAAUGACUGUUUGAAAACUCCUGCAAAUUGAUUGUAUGCAUAUCUUUCUUUUCAGAUGUUAAGUUCUUGUUUUAAUUCUGGUAAUAUUUUUAAAGUUUGUUCUUUGUUCAUAAUGGUUAGGUGAAUGUUAGAAAUCAAUACUUCCAACAGUCAGACGACUGUUUAAACCUGAUUUUGAUCAUAAUUAGGUGGUAUAUUCUUCAUUCUUCUAGAUUUUAAAUGAAUUAUUAAUUUUACCUCUAAAACUAGAGAUCAAAGUAAUUAAAUAAUCCAAUCUUUGGGGAUCUUCUUUUGUUUCAUUCAAUUGUUUGUAUUCUAAAUAUUUACUAUUUAGAGUAUUCUUGAUCCUUUUAAAGAUCUCUCUAUUUUUAAAAGACCUUCUCAUUAAAGGCUCUGAUACCAAUAAAAGGGUAAUAAAAUGGUGCUGUUCGCAAACAGGGUAAAUGUAAGGAAUAAUUUGACAAAAAUUAAUCAGUAUGAUAGCCAUCAUCAUAUUCAUAGGGCUAAUAAUCAUUAUCAUCAGAAUAUGGCCAAUAUUCAUCUUCAUCUGAAUCUAUAUGAGAAUAAUCAUGGAUAGACCAUUGUUCUUAGACAAGUGGUUCUAUAAUCUUAUCAAGGAUUUUCUCCUAAAGAUCCUUGUUUAAAUUUAUCACUUUUGAAAUAGUGAUUAAAGUUUUUUCAUCUAAAAAACAAGUAUAGUAACUCAUUAUGUUGUAUAGAGAGUCAUUCAUUUUAAUUUAUUUUUAUACUUUUGUAAUCUAGAUAUCUGUAUUGAUUUUAGAUUAUGAUUUUCAUUUAGAGAGGCAUUUAUGCGUACUCUAAUCCUGUUAAUUUCAGAAUUAUUUAAAUAAUUUUUUAAUCUAUAUAACCUAUUAAAAUAAUUUUUUAAACUUUUUAUAUUAUGAUUGUAAAACCUGAUUUUUAUUUUGGUUUCCCAAAACCAAUUUCGAUAUUCCUUUAAUACUGGUUGUACAACCUUCAUAUUAAAAAGUAUACACUAUUCAUGAUUUUAAAAUUUCCUAUAGGUACUACGUAAUACAAUAUGUAUGAAUGCAUAAAGUAGAUAUGAAAACUAAUUUUUCCUAUGCUAAUAAGUUCACUAGACUAUAGAGUAUAUUCAUGUACCUUUCGUCUUUCCUUUACGUUGGUCGUUUCAACACCUCAGUGAUUCUCCUUCCAGCUAUGAAGAACUUCUUUAGCCUUUUUGUUCCUUUUGGUUACUGUUCCGUUCCUCCUCCGUUUAGACCGAUGAUCGCAACCAUCAUUUUUACCAACUUAAAAGAUUGACAAGGUAUAUAAAAAAAAACUUUUAUUCCAUGAACUUAUUACAACAUAAGAAAAAUCUUUAAUCAGAUCUUUCUUUAUACUUACAUACACACUAUUAUUACUUUUCCCUGGCGGAAGAAAGUGC
RNAcentral lists this long non-coding RNA (13983 nucleotides) under Capsicum annuum. RNAcentral's name for it is "long non-coding RNA (CANN_LNC007561)". Lineage: Eukaryota; Viridiplantae; Streptophyta; Magnoliopsida; Solanales; Solanaceae. The record is from RNAcentral.